GAUCAUGGCUCAGGAUGAACGCUAGCUACAGGCUUAACACAUGCAAGUCGAGGGGCAGCAUGGUCUUAGCUUGCUAAGGCCGAUGGCGACCGGCGCACGGGUGAGUAACACGUAUCCAACCUGUCGUCUACUUUUGGACAGCCUUCUGAAAGGAAGAUUAAUACAAGAUGGCAUCAUGAGUCCGCAUGUUCACAUGAUUAAAGGUAUUCCGGUAGACGAUGGGGA
This 225-nucleotide ribosomal RNA is filed under the name uncultured bacterium. RNAcentral's name for it is "partial 16S ribosomal RNA". It matches the Rfam family "Bacterial small subunit ribosomal RNA", at positions 15 to 231 of the family's 1533-position model. The record is from RNAcentral.